UGAGAGGCCCGGGCGGCCGCUCGCGGGCAACCGCGGGAGGAAAGUCCGGACUCCUCGGGUCGGAGUGGUUGCCAACAGCAACCGGUCGCGAGGCCAGGGAAAGUGCCACAGAAAACAAACCGCCGCGCGCUCCUCACGGUCCACGCGGUAAGGGUGAAACGGGGCGGUAAGAGCGCACCGCGGGCCUGGUGACAGUCCCGGCACGGCAAACCCCACUCGGAGAAAGACCAAAUAGGGAAGGCACACGAGGACGACCCGCUUCACGCCUUCCGGGUAGGUCGUUCGAGGCCGAGCGCGAGCUCGGUCCCAGAGAAAUGGCCGCCACUGCGCAAGUAGCCACAAAAUCCGGCUUACAGGGCCUCUCACACC
RNAcentral lists this RNase P RNA (369 nucleotides) under Planctomycetota bacterium. Its description in RNAcentral is "RNase P RNA component class A". It matches the Rfam family "Bacterial RNase P class A". Rfam says of the family: Ribonuclease P (RNase P) is a ubiquitous endoribonuclease, found in archaea, bacteria and eukarya as well as chloroplasts and mitochondria. Its best characterised activity is the generation of mature 5'-ends of tRNAs by cleaving the 5'-leader elements of precursor-tRNAs. The record is from RNAcentral. Lineage: Bacteria; Pseudomonadati; Planctomycetota.